GAUGAACGCUGGCGGCGUGCCUAAUACAUGCAAGUCGAGCGAACAGACGAGGAGCUUGCUCCUCUGACGUUAGCGGCGGACGGGUGAGUAACACGGGAUAACCUACCUAUAAGACUGGGAUAACUUCGGGAAACCGGAGCUAAUACCGGAUAAUAUAUUGAACCGCAUGGUUCAAUAGUGAAAGACGGUUUUGCUGUCACUUAUAGAUGGAUCCGCGCCGCAUUAGCUAGUUGGUAAGGUAACGGCUUACCAAGGCAACGAUGCGUAGCCGACCUGAGAGGGUGAUCGGCCACACUGGAACUGAGACACGGUCCAGACUCCUACGGGAGGCAGCAGUAGGGAAUCUUCCGCAAUGGGCGAAAGCCUGACGGAGCAACGCCGCGUGAGUGAUGAAGGUCUUCGGAUCGUAAAACUCUGUUAUUAGGGAAGAACAAAUGUGUAAGUAACUAUGCACGUCUUGACGGUACCUAAUCAGAAAGCCACGGCUAACUACGUG
RNAcentral lists this ribosomal RNA (496 nucleotides) under uncultured bacterium. RNAcentral describes it as "partial 16S ribosomal RNA". It matches the Rfam family "Bacterial small subunit ribosomal RNA", at positions 28 to 507 of the family's 1533-position model. The record is from RNAcentral.